UCGGGAAUAUUGGGCAAUGGAGGAAACUCUGACCCAGCAAUACCGCGUGAAGGAUGAAGGUUUUCGGAUUGUAAACUUCUGUUAUAAAGGAAGAAUAAAAUGACGGUACUUUAUAAGUAAGCCCCGGCAAACUAUGUGCCAGCAGCCGCGGUGAUACAUAGGGGGCAAGCGUUGUCCGGAAUGACUGGGUGUAAAGGGUGUGUAGGUGGCUUUUUAAGUUGGAAGUGAAAGCCCGGGGCUCAACUCCGGAACUGCUUUCAAAACUGGAUGGCUUGAGUGUGGGAGAGGUUAGUGGAACUCCUAGUGUAGCGGUGGAAUGCGUAGAUAUUAGGAAGAACAUCAGAGGCGAAGGCGACUAACUGGAACAUUACUGACACUGAAACACGAAAGUGUGGGGAGCAAACAGG
This 407-nucleotide ribosomal RNA is filed under the name uncultured prokaryote. RNAcentral describes it as "bacterial SSU rRNA". It matches the Rfam family "Bacterial small subunit ribosomal RNA", at positions 355 to 776 of the family's 1533-position model. The record is from RNAcentral. RNAcentral also lists the same sequence under 1 other name.